RNAcentral lists this ribosomal RNA (458 nucleotides) under uncultured bacterium. RNAcentral describes it as "bacterial SSU rRNA". It matches the Rfam family "Bacterial small subunit ribosomal RNA", at positions 46 to 518 of the family's 1533-position model. The record is from RNAcentral.
GCUUCAUACAUGCAAGUCGAACGAGAAUCUCUAGCUUGCUAGAGAGGAAAGUGGCGGACGGGUGAGUAAUGUGUAGAGAAUCUGCCCUUUAGAGGGGGACAACAGUUGGAAACGACUGCUAAUACCCCAUAUGAGCGUACCUGCAAUGGUAUUCUUGAAAACUCCGGUGCUAAAGGAUGAGUCUGCAUCUGAUUAGCUAGUAGGCGGCGUAAUGGACCACCUAGGCGACGAUCAGUAGCUGGUUUGAGAGGAUGAUCAGCCACAAUGGGACUGAGACACGGCCCAUACUCCUACGGGAGGCAGCAGUAGGGAAUUUUGCGCAAUGGGGGGAAAAACCCCCUGACGCAGCAACGCCGCGUGAAUGAAGAAGCCCUUCGGGGUGUAAAGUUCUGUCAGUGGGGACGAAACUUGACGGUACCCACAGAGGAAGCAUCGGCUAACUCCGUGCCAGCCGCCGC